AUGGAGAUGGUGGAGAAGCUUUCUCUCACCACAAGACCACAUCCACAUCCUUACUACAUCCAAUGGUUCAACAACAGUGGCAAGGUUAAGGUAACACGUACUGUUCGUGUGCAUUUUAGUAUCUCUACAUAUGCUGAUUAUGUUGAUUGUGAUGUGGUACCUAUGCAAGCAUGUUCCUUAUUACUUGGUAGACCAUGGCAAUUUGAUAAAAAUUCUGUACACCAUGGUAGAAACAAUCACUAUACUCUUGUUCAUAAGGAUAAAAAUAUUACUUUGCUUCCUAUGACUCCUGAUUCCAUUUUGAAAGAUGAUAUUAAUAGAGCUAAUAAAACAAAACAGGAGACGAAUAAGAGUGAAAAUCAGAUUGUGGCAAAAGAAUUUGAGCAACAAAUGAAGCCUAAUAAUAAACCAUCUAGUGUUGCUUCUGAAAUUAAAUUGAAAAGUGCAUGUUUAUUUGCCACCAAAUCUGAUAUUGAUGAGCUAGAUUUCAGCAAAUCUGUUUGCUAUGCUUUUGUGUGCAAAGAGGCAUUAUUUUCAUUCGAGGACGUGCCUUCCUCUUUGCCUCCUGCUGUCACUAACAUUUUGCAGGAGUUCGCUGACGUCUUUCCACAAGACGUGCCACCGGGAUUACCGCCUAUUCGAGGGAUUGAGCAUCAGAUCGACUUAAUUCCCGGUGCUUCACUGCCAAACCGUGCACCAUACCGUACCAAUCCAGAGGAGACGAAGGAGAUUAUGCGUCAAGUACAAGAGCUUCUCGACAAAGGUUAUAUACGCGAAUCCCUUAGUCCUUGUGCUAUUCCUAUUAUUUUAGUGCCGAAAAAGGAUGGUACAUCACGUAUGUGUGUUGAUUGUAGAGGCAUUAAUAAUAUUACUAUUCGUUAUCGUCAUCCUAUUCCUAGGCUAGAUGAUAUGCUUGAUGAAUUGAGUGGCUCUACAAUAUUCUCCAAAGUUGAUUUGCGUAGUGGCUACCAUCAAAUUCGUAUGAAAUUGGGAGAUGAAUGGAAAACAGCAUUUAAAACUAAGUUUGGAUUAUAUGAGUGGUUAGUCAUGCCUUUUGGGUUAACUAAUGCACCUAGUACUUUCAUGAGAUUAAUGAACGAAGUUUUACGUGCUUUCAUUGGACGAUUUGUGGUAGUUUACUUUGAUGACAUAUUGAUUUAUAGCAGAUCUUUGGAAGAACAUUUGGAACAUUUACGUGCUGUUUUUAUUGCUCUACGUGAUGCACGUUUGUUUGGUAACCUUGGGAAGUGCACCUUUUGCACCGACCGAGUAUCUCUUCUUGGCUAUGUUGUUACUCCACAUGGAAUUGAAGUUGAUAAAGCCAAGAUUGAAGCUAUUGAGAGUUGGCCACAGCCCAAAACGGUCACACACGUGAGGAGUUUUCUUGGCCUCGCUGGAUUCUAUAGGCGUUUUGUGAGAGAUUUCAGCACCAUUGCUGCACCUCUCAAUGAGCUUACAAAGAAAGAUGUGCCUUUUCUUUGGGGUACCGCACAGGAAGAAGCCUUCUCCGUAUUGAAAGAUAAGUUGACACAUGCUCCUUUACUCCAACUUCCUGAUUUUAAUAAGACUUUUGAGCUUGAAUGUGAUGCUAGUGGAAUUGGAUUAGGAGGUGUGUUAUUACAAGAUGGCAAACCCGUUGCAUACUUUUCUGAAAAAUUGAGUGGGCCUAGUCUGAAUUAUUCUACUUAUGAUAAAGAAUUAUACGCUCUUGUUCGGACUUUAGAAACAUGCCAACAUUAUUUAUGGCCCAAAGAAUUUGUUAUACAUUCUGAUCAUGAAUCUUUGAAACAUAUUAAAAGUCAAGCUAAACUGAACCGUAGACAUGCUAAAUGGGUUGAAUUCAUUGAGACUUUCCCUUAUGUCAUUAAACACAAGAAGGGAAAAGAAAAUGUUAUUGCUGAUGCAUUGUCUCGUCGCUAUACUAUGCUUUCACAAUUUGACUUCAAAAUAUUUGGUUUGGAGACCAUCAAAGAUCAAUAUGUGCAUGAUGCUGAUUUUAAAGAUGUAAUGCAGAAUUGUAAAGAAGGAAGAAUGUGGAACAAGUUUGUCGUUAACGAUGGAUUUGUGUUUCGUGCUAACAAGCUAUGCAUUCCAGCUAGCUCCGUUCGUCUUUUGUUGUUGCAGGAGGCGCAUGGAGGAGGAUUAAUGGGAUACUUUGGCGUGAAGAAGACGGAGGACGUACUUGCUACACAUUUCUUUUGGCCAAAGAUGAGACGGGAUGUUGAGCAUUUUAUUGCUCGAUGCACUACAUGUCAAAAAGCUAAGUCACGACUCAAUCCUCAUGGUUUAUAUAUGCCUUUGCCUGUACCUAGUGUUCCUUGGGAGGAUAUAUCUAUGGACUUUGUUUUAGGUUUACCUCGAACAAAGAAGGGGAGGGAUAGCAUAUUUGUUGUCGUGGAUAGAUUCUCGAAAAUGGCACACUUUAUACCAUGUCAUAAAAGCGAUGAUGCUGUUAAUGUUGCUGAUUUGUAUCGUGAUACUAAAUUUCUUAGCCACUUUUGGAGAUGUUUAUGGGCUAAGUUGGGGACUAAACUGCUUUUUAGUACUACUUGUCACCCCAAACUGAUGGCCAAACUGAAGUAG
Molecule: ribosomal RNA, 2583 nt
Filed under: Triticum aestivum (bread wheat)
Lineage: Eukaryota; Viridiplantae; Streptophyta; Magnoliopsida; Poales; Poaceae
Description: partial small subunit ribosomal RNA
Source: RNAcentral